GUGCUUGGGGCAGCUGGCUCAGCCGCCAUGGCCGAGGAUCCAGGAUCCUGAGUGCUGCCUUCACUGUUCCCCUGUGUAUCCAAUCCUCCCACCUUCACAUGUACCAAUGUCUGCAUCUCUCAGUACCCCGGCGUGUUGGCCAAUCUCCUCCCACUGUCACUGAACACCAGGAUGCAGCUGGUGCCCAGUCAGAGCUCCCGUGUGCUCCCUGGGGCCACAGCAGUGACUGCCAUUCUCUCUUCAAGACGCCUGGGAGGUGGGCAAAGCUGUUGCUCAGAUUUGAGUGUUCUGCUGUACACCACAGGAAUCCCUCACGGACAGAUGCAGCAUGGUUUUCUACAUGGAGGAAGAUUUGUUCUUGGAUGAUCUAUGGCAAUAUUUACAUUAGUCUCUGCUAGAGAAAGUGCAUGGAUUUCUUCAACCCACAGUGGAAACUGCUACAUAAUUUCUUGCCUCUAUACAUGCCUCCCACCAACUUCAUUUUUCAGGAUAUAAUAGAAUACUAUCUACCCACUUCAUUUUUACUUAAUUUAAUAACAAUUUCACCGAGCAAUUGAGAACUUUGUGUCAGGCAUAGAUGUCACUAUAUGGGUUUGUCUUUUAAUUCCUAAAGUGGCCUUAUGAGACAGGCUCUAUUACUACCUUUUUGUAUGGAUGAUGAGCAGCUUGCCUAGGUUCAUGCUGCUAGGAAGUGGCCAACAAAGAUUUGAAUCCAGAAUCUGUGCUAUUGACUCUGACACAUUAUUAUUAUUAUAUAACUUUGAUGACAUUGAUAGGCAUGGUGGUCUUCAAAUAAAUGUACAAAGGAUGUGAUGGAAGUGUGGGAGUGAGUAGA
RNAcentral lists this long non-coding RNA (835 nucleotides) under Equus caballus (horse). Its description in RNAcentral is "lncRNA (ENSECAG00000046007.1)". Lineage: Eukaryota; Metazoa; Chordata; Mammalia; Perissodactyla; Equidae. The record is from RNAcentral.